RNAcentral lists this ribosomal RNA (1554 nucleotides) under Escherichia coli. Its description in RNAcentral is "bacterial SSU rRNA". It matches the Rfam family "Bacterial small subunit ribosomal RNA". The record is from RNAcentral. Lineage: Bacteria; Pseudomonadati; Pseudomonadota; Gammaproteobacteria; Enterobacterales; Enterobacteriaceae.
UUAAAUUGAAGAGUUUGAUCAUGGCUCAGAUUGAACGCUGGCGGCAGGCCUAACACAUGCAAGUCGAACGGUAACAGGAAACAGCUUGCUGUUUCGCUGACGAGUGGCGGACGGGUGAGUAAUGUCUGGGAAACUGCCUGAUGGAGGGGGAUAACUACUGGAAACGGUAGCUAAUACCGCAUAAUGUCGCAAGACCAAAGAGGGGGACCUUCGGGCCUCUUGCCAUCGGAUGUGCCCAGAUGGGAUUAGCUAGUAGGUGGGGUAACGGCUCACCUAGGCGACGAUCCCUAGCUGGUCUGAGAGGAUGACCAGCCACACUGGAACUGAGACACGGUCCAGACUCCUACGGGAGGCAGCAGUGGGGAAUAUUGCACAAUGGGCGCAAGCCUGAUGCAGCCAUGCCGCGUGUAUGAAGAAGGCCUUCGGGUUGUAAAGUACUUUCAGCGGGGAGGAAGGGAGUAAAGUUAAUACCUUUACUCAUUGACGUUACCCGCAGAAGAAGCACCGGCUAACUCCGUGCCAGCAGCCGCGGUAAUACGGAGGGUGCAAGCGUUAAUCGGAAUUACUGGGCGUAAAGCGCACGCAGGCGGUUUGUUAAGUCAGAUGUGAAAUCCCCGGGCUCAACCUGGGAACUGCAUCUGAUACUGGCAAGCUUGAGUCUCGUAGAGGGGGGUAGAAUUCCAGGUGUAGCGGUGAAAUGCGUAGAGAUCUGGAGGAAUACCGGUGGCGAAGGCGGCCCCCUGGACGAAGACUGACGCUCAGGUGCGAAAGCGUGGGGAGCAAACAGGAUUAGAUACCCUGGUAGUCCACGCCGUAAACGAUGUCGACUUGGAGGUUGUGCCCUUGAGGCGUGGCUUCCGGAGCUAACGCGUUAAGUCGACCGCCUGGGGAGUACGGCCGCAAGGUUAAAACUCAAAUGAAUUGACGGGGGCCCGCACAAGCGGUGGAGCAUGUGGUUUAAUUCGAUGCAACGCGAAGAACCUUACCUGGUCUUGACAUCCACAGAACUUUCCAGAGAUGGAUUGGUGCCUUCGGGAACUGUGAGACAGGUGCUGCAUGGCUGUCGUCAGCUCGUGUUGUGAAAUGUUGGGUUAAGUCCCGCAACGAGCGCAACCCUUAUCCUUUGUUGCCAGCGGUCCGGCCGGGAACUCAAAGGAGACUGCCAGUGAUAAACUGGAGGAAGGUGGGGAUGACGUCAAGUCAUCAUGGCCCUUACGACCAGGGCUACACACGUGCUACAAUGGCGCAUACAAAGAGAAGCGACCUCGCGAGAGCAAGCGGACCUCAUAAAGUGCGUCGUAGUCCGGAUUGGAGUCUGCAACUCGACUCCAUGAAGUCGGAAUCGCUAGUAAUCGUGGAUCAGAAUGCCACGGUGAAUACGUUCCCGGGCCUUGUACACACCGCCCGUCACACCAUGGGAGUGGGUUGCAAAAGAAGUAGGUAGCUUAACCUUCGGGAGGGCGCUUACCACUUUGUGAUUCAUGACUGGGGUGAAGUCGUAACAAGGUAACCGUAGGGGAACCUGCGGUUGGAUCACCUCCUUACCUUAAAGAA